UUGCUUUGGCAGUACAUAGAUUCAAAAUUGGAAAAAAACAGAGUAUUAGCAUGGCCCCUGCACUAGGAUUAUACAAAUUCCUGAAGCAGUCCAUAUUUUU
Oryctolagus cuniculus (rabbit) is the source of this 100-nucleotide small nuclear RNA. The record is from Ensembl. Lineage: Eukaryota; Metazoa; Chordata; Mammalia; Lagomorpha; Leporidae.